Molecule: transfer RNA, 70 nt
Filed under: Salmo salar (Atlantic salmon)
Lineage: Eukaryota; Metazoa; Chordata; Actinopteri; Salmoniformes; Salmonidae
Rfam family: tRNA
About the family: Transfer RNA (tRNA) molecules are approximately 80 nucleotides in length. Their secondary structure includes four short double-helical elements and three loops (D, anti-codon, and T loops).
Source: Rfam by way of RNAcentral
UCCCGUGUUGCUCAGUUGGUAGAGCAUGGUGUUUGCAAUGCCAGGGUUGUGUGUUCGAUUCCCACGGGGG